Molecule: RNA transcript, 3087 nt
Organism: Canis lupus familiaris (dog)
Lineage: Eukaryota; Metazoa; Chordata; Mammalia; Carnivora; Canidae
Exons: 6
Source: RefSeq, a predicted model, not a curated record
UAUCUACAGCAGAACCCCAGGGUGGCACAAGCCCCUUGGCGGGUCUGACAGUGGUCUAGGACCCUUGGCGCCAUCCCGAAACACCCCGCACCUGCACCCAGUGCUCGGGAUGGAGGGGACGACCUUCCGGGCCACGGGGCAUUGAGGCCAGGCAGGAGGGAUGGAGACACCAACCACAAACCAGAAGCAAGCACCCCCCGGGCAAGGGGAGAGUGGAAUGCAGAUGAAUGAAAAUUUCCUCGUGGCCUAGUCGUCAUCUAGGAUCAGCACCAUCAUCAAAGAAAGUGGACAAGCAGAUGGAAGAGGACAUUGCUAAGUUAGGCUUUCAGCAAAGGCCCUUUCUACCUUUCUCUCUCUUUCCCUGCCUCUCACCUGGAAUGCAGAUGUGAUGGUUGAAGCAUCAGCCGCCACAGUAAGACUAUGAAGCAAACUUAGGAUGGCAGUCAAUGAGGUAGAGCAGAGGGUUAGAAGGAGCCCUGGUCCCUGAGGAGGUUGAAGCUUCCGUGACUGCACAGGCUGCUCUCCUCCAGCCCCUUUGAGAAGAGGGAAAGUUCUGUUCUACUGUAUUCAAGCUGCUGUCAUUCCCAGUGUCUGUUAUUAGCAACCAAGCUCAAUUCUUAGAGGAUACAGCUUUGCCGACCCCUCUUUCUAUUCUUGCUUAGAGGCCACCUACCUUUCCCUGGGUGUAUUCCAAAAAUGAAUCUAUGCCUUCAGCAAAGACUAUGUCCACAGCGAGGAGCUGGGCCAGGAGCUAAAAGCUAGGCCUCACUAGUCUCUCCUCCUCAGAUCGUCUCACUCAGGGACUUUUCCUGAAUAUCAAUCCACAAACCUCUUCUCAGCAGUUCCCAGGCUCCAUCCCAACAGGCCAGGGCUGCCCAAUUCAACUCACAUUCAGAACAGCAGGAGACUGGGCUACAGUGUAGCUACAGCGGCCUCCACCUGGACCCAGGAGAUGGGAGUAUCUGAGGGCACUUUCUGGAUGGCUCGCAGAAGCAACAAUGCACCGAAAUAUCCUCUGGCUGUGACUCUGGUGAGCCCAACAUUCCCAUCUCUGCGGACGUGACAGCUCCCCUGGCUGGCCCGAGCUCUCGGGCACAAGGGUGAUGCUCACAGUGGGCCCAAUAGUAGCCCCCAAAGGACGCAUCCAUGUCUUCAUCCCCAGGCCUUACCUGGGAAAACAGAGCUUGCAUAUGUAAGCUAGUUAGGGACUUGAGGCAAGAGCUGCUCAGGACCACCUGGGUGAGCCCUAAAUAAUGACACGUGUCUGUACAAGAGACACAGAGGAGACGUGCAGACAAGCACUGGCGAGAAGCCAUGUGAAGGUGUAGGCAGAGACCGGAGGACAGGGCCACUAGCCCAGAGGCCCUGGAGCCUCCAGCAGUAGAAGAGGCAGGAAGGACUGUCCCCCAGAACAUGUGUGGCUCCAGGAACAUGAGUACCGAUUCCUGUUGUCACAAGCCCCCAGUCUGUGACAUUUCUUAUGGCCACAGAAGGCUAAUGCACCCUUUCCCUCAUGCUCAUCCCUGUACUGCCAGGGCCCAGGGACCCCACAUGCUGCCUGAGGCUCCCUCCUUGCCUCGGACCCUGUUAGUUACAGGUUUGCUCCUGUGUCUGCAGCCCCAGAGGUGAAGCCGGGGCUGGCGGCCUCAGCUGGGGGCUCAGCCCCUCCAAGAGAACAAGGACAGACCAUCCACCACCAGGCACCGCCGUUAGGGGAACCCCAGCCCAGGGCCUUGCUCCCCAUGUGACGCCCCCUCCCCUGAGCCCCCUGCCCUGGGCGUCCUGGGGGGCAGCCCUCGCUGAGCCGGUCUCCCUAAGUAGUCCUGUUUGAUGCCCUUUCCCCAAACAGAGAUGCCCGCCAGGCUAAUGUUUCUAUGGUUCAUUAUUUUUCUCAUGAAAAGUAAUGAGUUUUAAAAGAGUUCACCUUCUGGAGAUGAAGAUCUGGCUGGAGGACCAUUAACGCUGCCGACCCCAAGCCCCAGGAGCAUUAUAACUUAUCAAAAGACACUAUUUUAUGAGAGCUGUCGUGUUGUUGAGCCAGCCCAGCCAGCACCAUCUCUUCCCUCAGAGAGAGCAGGUGGUGCAGGACAGGGAGCUCUGUCUAGUCUUCCUCAGCCCUAGGACAUCUAGCGUCAAGUGGGCAGUGGCCCAUCCUCGAAGAGGCUGUCCCCAGACAAGGGACAGGCCCACGUUGUGCACAGAUCACCUCCAGCUCCCUGCUCUGCUCCAGGACGCACCAGCCACAGAGCAGGACUUGCAUCGACAGCUCCAGUUCCAGCCGCAUGGUCCUGUUGUCCAACCCAUGCCCACAAGGCCUUUGCUCUCACUCACACACUCCAGUCCAGUCCCUAUGGAGCAGCCCUGGCAUGUGGGACCCCUCGGUGCCCUGAACCUCUGGGCCAUCAGGGGCAUGCAGGAUGAGCUGCCUCCCUCAGGAGACGCACUGCAAAGGGGAGUGCUGGAGGCCCACCCAGAAUCUGCCUCCAGCAGCGGUCCCCACACCCAGCAAACUCUCCCGAGAGUGGCCAGUGAGCACCUGCAGUGCUGGGGACCAGAAGUGGCCAAAGUUUCAGGAAGGGCUGACUCGCUGGGACGCUGUUCCCUUCUGAAGCUGUGUGACCAAACACCACAAGCCACGUGUUCCCCGCUCUGCACGGCUGCUUGGGCCCCGGACAGCUCAGGGUGUCGGCAAUCCAGACCCGUGCUGCUGUGGCUGGCUUCUGAGAUACUGGCCCCUUGGGGGUCUCGGAGUUCCCAGCUGAGCCACUGCUGACCCCCAUCCCGGUCUGGACACAAGCACAGAGAAGAGCCAUGUCCCCCCGGCAGCGUGCCUGUUAAGGCACCGUGUUGGCCACGGUGUCCCCAUCGCAGGCAGGUGACAUGAGCCUCCCACUUCUGUGUAAGGGAAGCCCUGACGUGGACAGAAGACCCCUCCCGCAACUGCGAGGGGCUGCUGGCUGCCCCACCGCACCCAGCCCUCCUGGCCACAGAGCCCCGCAGAGCCCGGCGGCGGCGGACCGGGUGCCAGGCCUGCGUGCGGUGGGUGGUGCGCAGCCCGCAGCUGCUGGAAUCUCUGAGGUGAGCAGC